This 78-nucleotide microRNA precursor is filed under the name Amphimedon queenslandica. Its description in RNAcentral is "Aqu-Mir-2015_pre stem-loop". Lineage: Eukaryota; Metazoa; Porifera; Demospongiae; Haplosclerida; Niphatidae. The record is from RNAcentral.
UCAUGUAUUGUGGAGGGGAGAGACUUUAAGGAGUAGCUUUACUGUCUCCAUGAGCUCACCUCUCCAUCAUGCAUGACA